RNAcentral lists this ribosomal RNA (462 nucleotides) under uncultured bacterium. Its description in RNAcentral is "partial 16S ribosomal RNA". It matches the Rfam family "Bacterial small subunit ribosomal RNA", at positions 28 to 507 of the family's 1533-position model. The record is from RNAcentral.
GACGAACGCUGGCGGCGUGCUUAACACAUGCAAGUCGAACGGAAAGGCCCUUCGGGGUACUCGAGUGGCGAACGGGUGAGUAACACGUGGGUGAUCUGCCCUGCACUUUGGGAUAAGCCUGGGAAACUGGGUCUAAUACCGAAUAGGACCGCGCGCUUCAUGGUGUGUGGUGGAAAGCUUUUGCGGUGUGGGAUGGGCCCGCGGCCUAUCAGCUUGUUGGUGGGGUAAUGGCCUACCAAGGCCACGACGGGUAGCCGGCCUGAGAGGGUGACCGGCCACACUGGGACUGAGAUACGGCCCAGACUCCUACGGGAGGCAGCAGUGGGGAAUAUUGCACAAUGGGCGCAAGCCUGAUGCAGCGACGCCGCGUGAGGGAUGACGGCCUUCGGGUUGUAAACCUCUUUCACCAGGGACGAAGCGCAAGUGACGGUACCUGGAGAAGAAGCACCGGCCAACUACGUG